Salvator merianae (Argentine black and white tegu) is the source of this 1091-nucleotide long non-coding RNA. The record is from Ensembl. Lineage: Eukaryota; Metazoa; Chordata; Lepidosauria; Squamata; Teiidae.
CUGCAUUCCACCGUACAUUAGUGAUAUGCAUACAAGUUUGAUAUAGUGUUUCCCAUCACAAAGUGACAGAAUAAGCUUGAAUAGCGCAACAGGCGGGGAGGAUACAGCACAUUAAAAAAAAAAGUUAAGCGACGAACCAGAACGCAAAGGACUCCAACAAAUUUGAACGCGGCAGCAACCGGACUGCAAGCCCCAUGAUGCCCCGCAUGCUGUUUGCGGAAGAGGCGUGGGGUGGGCGGGCGAUGGACUCUUUCUGGACAGUUAUUCUAACGUGAAUCUCAGAUACGUGGCACUUUAUGGGAGUGUGACUCAAUUUUGUAUUUUCUUCUCAUGCAGCAGAGGAAAAUUUUGAAAAACCCAACUGCAGAACCAUAAGAAGCUAAAAGACAGAGCAGGUUCUGUUGUGCCUUCUCUUCUCCCUAUCCGCUUUGUCUUGAAAAGUCCUAUUGGCUGGCAUAUCUGUCCGGCGGUUUGUUAAUGUUAAUGAUUGGCUGAACGUUUAGAUUACCAAAAGGGAAAAAACUCGGUCCCGUCCGGCCCAGCAGAAACAUAAUAAAGACAAUGUAAAGGAAGGCAGCGGCCGCCGGCGACGGCGCCUAUUGGUGGGAUUAUUCUUUUGUUUGCCAGAAGGCGCGCGCGCUCUUUGGGUUUUUUUAAAACUAUCAUCGCGGCCAUGGAGUCAUUUGAAGCCGUUGUGCAGCGUAUCCAAGCGAGUUCUAAGAAAGAGCGCGUGAACGAAGACAGGUACAUUCCGUGCUUCUUGGUACCAGCAGCAGACGUCUGUGUCCGGUCUGAUAGCGCAUUCUGCGCCUGGAGCCCCUUGCUUGCCAGAAGACAAACCUGUAUAUUCCCUUUUUUGUGUCCUCUCAGCGGCCACCGUUCAGAAGAGGCCUUGGCAGGUGGAGCACCGUGGAUGGGAGAUCACCAGGAAAUCUUUGGAGGUGGGUGUAUUUGCUGCCUUGAGCAGCAAAACAUUUAUGGAUGUUUUUAUGAAGAGUUUACAGUCUUAAUCCACUGUUGGUAAACUANACCUUUGAUCAGCCUUUUUAGAAUGGCCAUGAUGUGUUUUUGACCCUGCAUAUAANAUACUG